RNAcentral lists this ribosomal RNA (496 nucleotides) under uncultured bacterium. Its description in RNAcentral is "partial 16S ribosomal RNA". It matches the Rfam family "Bacterial small subunit ribosomal RNA", at positions 28 to 506 of the family's 1533-position model. The record is from RNAcentral.
GAUGAACGCUGGCGGCGUGCCUAAUACAUGCAAGUCGAGCGAACGGACGAGAAGCUUGCUUCUCUGAUGUUAGCGGCGGACGGGUGAGUAACACGUGGAUAACCUACCUAUAAGACUGGGAUAACUUCGGGAAACCGGAGCUAAUACCGGAUAAUAUUUUGAACCGCAUGGUUCAAAAGUGAAAGACGGUCUUGCUGUCACUUAUAGAUGGAUCCGCGCUGCAUUAGCUAGUUGGUAAGGUAACGGCUUACCAAGGCAACGAUGCAUAGCCGACCUGAGAGAGUGAUCGGCCACACUGGAACUGAGACACGGUCCAGACUCCUACGGGAGGCAGCAGUAGGGAAUCUUGCGCAAUGGGCGAAAGCCUGACGGAGCAACGCCGCGUGAGUGAUGAAGGUCUUCGGAUCGUAAAACUCUGUUAUUGGGGAAGAACAUAUGUGUAAGUAACUGUGCACAUCUUGACGGUACCUAAGCAGAAAGCCACGGCUAACUACGU